GGACGGGUGAGGAACACAUCGGAAUCUACCCUGUCGUGGGGGACAACGUAGGGAAACUUACGCUAAUACCGCAUACGACCUUUGGGUGAAAGCGGGGGACUCGCAAGAGCCUCGCGCGAUUGGAUGAGCCGAUGUCCGAUUAGCUAGUUGGCGGGGUAAUGGCCCACCAAGGCGACGAUCGGUAGCUGGUCUGAGAGGACGACCAGCCACACUGGAACUGAGACACGGUCCAGACUCCUACGGGAGGCAGCAGUGGGGAAUAUUGGACAAUGGGGGCAACCCUGAUCCAGCCAUGCCGCGUGGGUGAAGAAGGCCUUCGGGUUGUAAAGCCCUUUUGUACGGGAAGAAAAGCUUUCGGUGAACAUCCGGGAGUCAUGACGGUACCGUAAGAAUAAGCACCGGCUAACUUCGUGCCAGCAGCCGCGGUAAUACGAAGGAUCCAAGCGUUAUCCGGAUUUAUUGGGUUUAAAGGGUGCGUAGGUGGCCUGUUAAGUCAGGGGUGAAAGACGGUAGCUUAACUAUCGCAGUGCCCUUGAUACUGAUGGGCUUGAAUGAACUAGAGGUAGGGCGGAAUGUGACAAGUUAGCGGUGAAAUGCAUAGAUUGUCACAGAACACCAAAUUUGCGAAGGCA
Molecule: ribosomal RNA, 632 nt
Filed under: uncultured bacterium
Lineage: Bacteria
Description: bacterial SSU rRNA
Rfam family: Bacterial small subunit ribosomal RNA
Source: RNAcentral